Non-coding RNA from Pelobates cultripes (western spadefoot toad), 544 nucleotides. The record is from the annotation of a GenBank genome assembly. NCBI's taxonomy places the organism in Eukaryota, Metazoa, Chordata, Amphibia, Anura, Pelobatidae.
CCCAAGCCUUGCAGUUAUUGGUGGAUGCGAACCCCAAGCCUUGCAGUUAUUGGUGAAUGCGAACCCCAAGCCUUGCAGUUAUUGGUGGAUGCGAACCCCAAGCCUUGCAGUUAUUGGUGGAUGCGAACCCCAGGCCUUGCAGUUAUUGGUGGAUGUGAACCCCAGGCCUUGUGGUUACUGAAGUCAGUGGGCAGCUAAAUAGCAGUGAGACAAGAUUUAAAAAAUUCUCUAAGAAUUGAAAGAAGCCUAACUGUGACAACUAUCAAUUUAAAACAUAGAUAAUUAUCACCAUUAUUUGCAUCGUACACUGAGAGUUAAUCUCGGAAGGUGUUCCUUGUUGUCUUAAAUGCCGUCAUUAUGGAAAACCUUCCCACCUGUUCUGGGUUUCACAGUUUGAGGGAGUCUUGCUGGCAUGAUUUGGUAACUGCGAAAUUCCCCAAAUUUAGCUCGGUUGGGGGGCUGUCUCUGUUUUGGAGGUGUCUAAAAAAGUCAAGGUUUCUCAGUGACAAAAGCAUUAGGUGCUCUGGCAACCGUUGGAGUGGAG